Molecule: ribosomal RNA, 373 nt
Filed under: uncultured bacterium
Lineage: Bacteria
Description: bacterial SSU rRNA
Rfam family: Bacterial small subunit ribosomal RNA
Source: RNAcentral
AUACGGAGGAUGCAAGCGUUAUCCGGAUUUAUUAGGUUUAAAGGGUGCGUAGGCGGACUUGUAAGUCAGCGGUGAAAUACUACAGCUUAACUGUAGAACUGCCGUUGAUACUGUGAGUCUUGAGUAUAGUUGAGGUAGGCGGAAUGUGUAGUGUAGCGGUGAAAUGCUUAGAUAUUACACAGAACACCGAUUGCGAAGGCAGCUUACUAAGCUAUAACUGACGCUGAGGCACGAAAGCAUGGGGAGCAAACAGGAUUAGAUACCCUGGUAGUCCAUGCUGUAAACGAUGAUCACUCGCUGUAUGUCCGUUAGGGUAUGCGGCUGAGCUAAAGCAUUAAGUGAUCCACCUGGGGAGUACGGCGGCAACGCUGAA